This 769-nucleotide ribosomal RNA is filed under the name uncultured Bacillota bacterium. RNAcentral describes it as "bacterial SSU rRNA". It matches the Rfam family "Bacterial small subunit ribosomal RNA", at positions 564 to 1336 of the family's 1533-position model. The record is from RNAcentral. Lineage: Bacteria; Bacillati; Bacillota.
AGGGCGUGUAGGCGGAGAUGCAAGUUGGGAGUGAAAUCCCGGGGCUCAACCCCGGAACUGCUUUCAAAACUGUAUCCCUUGAGUGUCGGAGAGGCAAGCGGAAUUCCUAGUGUAGCGGUGAAAUGCGUAGAUAUUAGGAGGAACACCAGUGGCGAAGGCGGCUUGCUGGACGAUAACUGACGCUGAGGCGCGAAAGCGUGGGGAGCAAACAGGAUUAGAUACCCUGGUAGUCCACGCUGUAAACGAUGAAUACUAGGUGUGGGAGGACUGACCCCUUCCGUGCCGCAGUUAACACAAUAAGUAUUCCACCUGGGGAGUACGACCGCAAGGUUGAAACUCAAAGGAAUUGACGGGGGCCCGCACAAGCAGUGGAUUAUGUGGUUUAAUUCGACGCAACGCGAAGAACCUUACCAGGAUUUGACAUCCAACUAACGAAGUAGAGAUACAUUAGGUGCCCUUCGGGGAAAGUUGAGACAGGUGGUGCAUGGUUGUCGUCAGCUCGUGUCGUGAGAUGUUGGGUUAAGUCCCGCAACGAGCGCAACCCCUAUUGUUAGUUGCUACGCAAGAGCACUCUAGCGAGACUGCCGUUGACAAAGCGGAGGAAGGCGGGGACGACGUCAAAUCAUCAUGCCCCUUAUGUCCUGGGCUACACACGUAAUACAAUGGUGGUUAACAGAGGGAGGCAAUACUGCGAAGUGGAGCAAAUCCCUAAAAGCCAUCUCAGUUCGGAUUGCAGGCUGCAACUCGCCAGCAUGAAGCUGGAAUUGCU